UUUUUGAAGAGUUUGAUCCUGGCUCAGGAUGAACGCUGGCGGCGUGCCUAAGACAUGCAAGUCGAGGGGGUUUAGACCCCCGGCGAACGGGUGAGUAACGCGUGGGAACUUUCUUCAAGUUUGGGAUAACCCUCCGAAAGGAGGAGUAAUAUCAGAUGUGCCCGCAAGGGUAAAGGAGCAAUCCGCUUGAAGUGAGGCCCGCGUCCCAUCAGCUUGUUGGUAAGGUAAAAGCUUACCAAGGCUAUGACGGGUAGAGGGCCCGAGAGGGUGAUCCUCCACACUGGGACUGCGACACGGCCCAGACUCCUACGGGAGGCAGCAGUUAGGAAUUUUGGACAAUGGGCGAAAGCCUGAUCCAGCGACGCCGCGUGCACGAAGAAGGCCUUCGGGUUGUAAAGUGCUUUUGUUGGGGAACAAUUUUUGAGCGUACCUAACGAAUAAGAGGUUGCUAACUCUGUGCCAGCAGCAGCGGUAAUACAGAGACCUCAAGCGUUAUCCGGAAUCAUUGGGCGUAAAGCGUUCCGAUAGGUGGUUUAGUGAGUCUUGAGUAAAAGCCCGAAGCUCAACUUCGGUGUUUGCUUAAGAUACUGCUAGACUAGAGGGGCAAAGAGGUAACUGGAACGAACGGUGUAGUAGUGAAAUGCGUUGAUAUCGUUCGGAACACCAAAAGCGAAGGCAGGUUACUGGGUGCCUCCUGACACUGCUAGGACGAAAGCGUGGGUAGCGAAUGGGAUUAGAUACCCCAGUAGUCCACGCUGUAAACGAUGAGUGCUAGGUAUGCGCGAGUAUCGACCCUCGUGCGAGCCGCAGCUAACGCGUUAAGCACUCCGCCUGGGGAGUACGGCCGCAAGGCUAAAACUCAAAGGAAUUGACGGGGACCCGCACAAGCGGUGGAGCAUGUGGUUUAAUUCGAUGAUACGCGAGGAACCUUACCAAGGCUUG
Molecule: ribosomal RNA, 942 nt
Filed under: bacterium
Lineage: Bacteria
Description: bacterial SSU rRNA
Rfam family: Bacterial small subunit ribosomal RNA
Source: RNAcentral